UCUCACCUCGUCUCUCUCUCACUCGUCAUCUCUCCCUCACUCUUCUCACUCGCCUCCUCUCACCUCAAAACGCAGCGACCAUUGCUCCGACCUCCUCGGCUCUCCCAUUGCUCCGGCCACAGUAGUUCGGGAGGUGCUUAAACCUAUUCUUGAUCCGUACUUUGAUAAAUGUAAGUAAAAAAUCGUUUUUGAGUUGGUAGAUUAGACAUGGCAGAAGAAAUGAAAUGGUGGCCGGAGAUGGUGUUCUCCAGUGGUUGCAGAGGGAAGAAGAAGAGAGAGGGAGCGAGAGGUCAGGGGAGAGAGAGAGAAGGAAGCGCGGCUGAGAAGAGAGAAAGGGAGAGUUUAGGUUUUUGGUGAGAUGGUGGUCGGAAGUGGUGGUCUCCGGUGAUGGCAGAGGAAGAGAAGAAGAAGAGAGGUUGAGGGAGAGAGAGAGAGAGACCGUGCGGCCAGGAAAGAGGGAGAGAGGGAGGGAGGGAGAGAGAGAGUAAAAAAAGGGGAGAAAAAUUAAAAAAAUAGAGAAAAAAUAAAAAUAAAAAUAAAAAUAGAAAAUGAGGGGCAUAAUAGUCAUUUCAGAUCAUUUUGGACUUGUUAUAUGAGAAUUAGAGAGAAUAAGGACUAUCCAGUUUAAUUUGAAAUGCGAGGGACUAAACUGUUUUUCAGGCAAAAGUUUGAGGAGUAAGAAGUAUUUAAUCCUAUAUUUUUUGUUUGAUUGAUUCACUCGAAAGUUCAUGUUCUUGGAGGAUAGGGUGGGCAGCUGAGGAUGAUAGAUUUAUCUGUAUCAUAUAGGGAGUAUAAGAAAAUGAUCGGAAAAGAAAAAUAACAACAGAAGCAUAAAGAUAAGCUUGAUAAAAAAAUUAAAAAAAAAAGAUAAGAUGAGAUAGUAAAGAUAGAGUGAUUAUAAAUUCAUUAAGCGAUGAUUAAAAUAUUUUCAAUUAAGUGAGUUUUGAUGUUUAAGCGAAUGAUGCAUAAUUCUCGUUUCUGAGAAAUUUAUAAGUGUCGUUCUAGCCUUCGAUUAUCAAUGAAAUAUUCCUUUACUCAAAAAAAAAAAAAAAAACAAAAAAACAAAAAAAAAACAUUUUCACUCACCAUGUGGUUAUUUUUAAUGAUUUUCACUACUAGCAAAAUAACCUAUCCAUACUGAUUUCUACUAGCCACAGAUAUCUGUGUGGAAUAUCAAGUGAUACAGACAACCGUAACUAUUAACUUAUAUGGACCGCACAGAAAAUACAUUCAUAAUUGUACAUACAAAAAUCUAUGUGACUGGCAAGGGAAGUGGCGAGGGCACCCGCGACACGGGGGGACUGGCACAGGAGGCACCGGCACUGGCACCGGCGGAGUUCCGUGGCAGUGGAUUGUGGAUGCUCAGAAGAAGAUGAAGGUUCAGGCCAAAAUCUGUUUCUUUUCUGUGCUCAUGGUCAUCAUGCUCUGCUUCGUGAUCCUUAAAGUCAUCAAGCUCAUCGAGUUUUUCGCUGUCACACCAAAGAAAUGAGAUGAGCUUCCUGGUCAGAUCUCGCAUGUCGGAGCCUGCUAUCGCGUUUUCGUUCCUCAGCAACGCGGUCUCAGUGGUGGGCUUGUGUCUGCAGGAGGAAGCGCGUGGGGCGAAGGAAGCCCGCGAUAAGGAGGUACAUGCCGUGUGGCAGGAGGAGCAAGAGAGGGAAUCUGUUCGCCAGGUCAGGGAAGUGGAAAUUGCCAAGAAGAAAGAGCUGCUUGAAGCCAAUGCGCAAGCCAUGGCGGCUCACUCUCUGAUUCUGCAGUAGGCGUUGGUAGCCUAUGUUGGGCUACUUUCGAUCUCUGACAAAUAGGUUGCUCAUCAUUGGCACGUGGAAUUGUAGAUUUGUGGAGAAACUAUGGAGUUAGCAGGGGGCAAGGAAAAUUUUGGGUUUUUGGCAUGAUAGCAGGGAGGGUUAUGGGAAUCAAAUUUUAAUUUUCAAUCUAGAUUUUCAUCCAUGUUUUGCUCAGGUUGUAUGCAUGUUUUGCUCAGGUUGUAUGAUCUUACACUAUUGGAGAAUUGAAGUUAAGUUUAGACAGAGAUAUGAUAGUAAUGGUGUCUAUCUCCUCGCAUAUUGUCUAUUUUAUUUGCUAUUCUCUGUUUUGUCAUU
Long non-coding RNA from Rosa rugosa (rugosa rose), 2099 nucleotides. RefSeq lists it as uncharacterized. The record is from RefSeq and is a predicted model, not a curated record. The transcript is spliced from 3 exons. Lineage: Eukaryota; Viridiplantae; Streptophyta; Magnoliopsida; Rosales; Rosaceae.